CUGAUCGUCAUCUCGUGCGAUCCCGACCCUCAGCUCCCACCCCACGACCUCGUGCCCGACGGUUGCUCCGCCCCUGCCUCCUCCUCGCCUCGCGACCUCCUCCUCCGGCCCCCACCGCCCACCCCCAUGCUUCGACGCCGCCGCAUCCCUGACCCCUGCCCUCUCGCCGGUGCUUUCGUCCCCCCCUCUCUCUCGCCAUCGCCGCUCCGCCGUCCCCCUCGCGCCUCCCUCUCUCGCUCACCGCCGCCGCCGCUCCGCCGCUCCCCUCGUGCCGUCCUCUCCUCUCCCUCGGCCACCUCUCCGUCGCGCUGCCACACCCGGCCUCUUCGCCGCGACGCCGACCGUGGGUUGGCUCGCACCCGCCGUCGCCACAUCUGGUCUCUCAGCGCUCCGGCCUCCCCUAUGCUCUGUGUCUCUCCGGUCUCCACAUCACUCCAACGCCGAGGCAGCCGGCACCUCCCAAGUCCUCCACGGCUCCCCGACGAGAGGCCCACGGUCCGCCGGCUCCGGGCGCACGGCGUCUCCAAGCUCACGUCCGGCCUCCGAGCGCACUGGGCACCUUCAGCCUCCCAGCGCUCCGUUGCUCCCCAACGUGAGGCCCAUGGCCCACCGGCUCCAGGCGUGCGACGCCUCCAAGCUCCUCCACCACCACCUCUGCCCCAUUCAGUAUGGAUGUUGAGUUUGCUAUUAUUCCAAAUUGGACUCCAAUCCAUGAAGUGGACUGAAAUCCAUUUUUUUUGUCCCAUCUGCACGUGAAGAGAAAGAGGAGACACCUCUCAGAUCCUGAGAAGACUCCAAUGUCCAAUGAACUGCAAACUCUGGUAAUCUGUCUGUUUGGAGCCAUGACGAGUUGUGGUAGACUUGUUCUCUUGUCUUGGAUUUGUAACUGAUAAGUGAUAGUCUUUUCAUAUAUAUUUUUUAGACUAUGGAGAAACACUUUCUGAGUUUGUAGGGAAUCAGUUCCAUAGAGUCCUAUACUCCUCUGUUUUUUAAUAUAUCGUGAAAAAUAUAUCCUUAAAACUUGGGUACAUGCCCUAUGCCGCAUCACAACUAUGAUAGCAUACUCUACCAACAAACCACAUACCAGAGUUUGCAGUUUGAGGAAUAAAAGUAGAGUGUCAUAAAUAUGCAUGGAUGUUGAAACUUGGCGCAAUCAAUUGGUGAGCAUUUUGGAUGUUCGUUUUUGUUUGGCAACUAACUACUGAAAAGUUUAGUUUUCACCCGUUUGGACUUUUGAUGGAAUGUAUAGCAGGUGGUAAAAAUAAAAAGGAAAUAAACUAUCUAAUGUUUGAA
This is a long non-coding RNA of Panicum virgatum (switchgrass), 1293 nucleotides long. RefSeq lists it as uncharacterized. NCBI's taxonomy places the organism in Eukaryota, Viridiplantae, Streptophyta, Magnoliopsida, Poales, Poaceae. The transcript has 2 exons. The record is from RefSeq and is a predicted model, not a curated record.